Molecule: long non-coding RNA, 860 nt
Filed under: Homo sapiens (human)
Lineage: Eukaryota; Metazoa; Chordata; Mammalia; Primates; Hominidae
Description: novel transcript, antisense to DPY19L1
Source: RNAcentral
CCCGGGCCAUUCUUUUAAAGCCCAGGCAGAGCGCGGGUGGGAAGCGUGCGAGGAGAGCUGAGCCAGGGAGUUGCGGGGAGGAGAAGAAUUAGAGGAGACAGCACUGAUGGGAGUGACAGAAGCGGUGCCGGUUAACUCCCCACCAUCAAAAGUAUCUUCUGCUGUAGUCUGGCACAAGGAGUGAAAGGUUAAUAGCCAAGAAAGAAAGAAGGAAGAAGAAAACAGCUCCCCGUACAGAGACAGAGGAAGGGGGGAUUUGAACAAAGAAAAAACCCCGUGUGCGUCGGAAAAGUGGCUGCUUAUACGUAUCCCAAAUCUAAAGGAAGUUUUUUUUUUUUUUGAGACGGAGUCUCGCUCUGUCCCCCAGGCCGGAGUGCAGUGGCGCAAUCUCUGCUCACUGCAAGCUCCGCCUUCCGGGUUCACGGCAUUCUCCUGCCUCAGCCUCCCGAAUAGCUGGGACCACAGGCACCCGCCACCACGCCCGGCUAAUUUUUUGUAUUUUUAGUAAAGACGGGGUUUCACCGUGUUAGCCAGGAUGGUCUUGAUCUCCUGACCUCGUGAUCCACCCACCUCGGCCUCCCAAAGUGCUGGGAUUACAGGCGUAAGCCACUGCACCCAGCCAAUCUAAAGGAAGUUUUAAAAGGUUACUUCCUUUUGAUUUCUGUUAAGAAAAGGGAGUGUUUAUGUGUUUGUUUCCAAAUAUUAUUUCUCAGCUGAAAAUCCAUUUUUUAAAACACUACCUUAAAAGUUCUUCUACCACUCCUGUGGAAAUAUAUGAGCCCAUCUUCAAGAAAUAACAGUUUGAAAUGUGAAAACUUAAGCUUUCCUUUAAGAAAGAGGAAUAUGAACUAGAACGGCAA